UACGGAGGGGGCAAGCGUUGUUCGGAAUUACUGGGCGUAAAGGGCGCGCAGGCGGCUGCUCAAGUCAGGCGUGAAAAGGCCUGGGCUCAACCCGGGAAUUGCGCUUGAGACUGGGCUGGCUUGAGUGCGGGAGAGGUGAGUGGAAUUCCCAGUGUAGAGGUGAAAUUCGUAGAUAUUCGGAAGAACACCAGUGGCGAAGGCGGCCCGCUGGACAAGUAUUGACGCUGAGGUGCGAAA
RNAcentral lists this ribosomal RNA (237 nucleotides) under uncultured bacterium. RNAcentral's name for it is "partial 16S ribosomal RNA". It matches the Rfam family "Bacterial small subunit ribosomal RNA", at positions 524 to 758 of the family's 1533-position model. The record is from RNAcentral.